CCCUUAGAUGUUCUGGGCCGCACGCGCGCUACACUGAUGCAUUCAACGAGUCUAAAACCUGGUCUGAUAGGGCUGGGUAAUCUUUUGAAAGUGCAUCGUGAUUGGGAUAGAUGAUUGCAAUUCUUCAUCUUCAACGAGGAAUGCCUAGUAAACGCAAGUCAUCAGCUUGCAUUGAUUACGUCCCUGCCCUUUGUACACACCGCCCGUCGCUCCUACCGAUUGAAUGAUCCGAUGAAUACCAUGGAUUGAGAGUACGAAUGGGUUCGCUCAUUUCUGCUGCCCGAGAAGUGGAGUAAAUCUUAUCAUUUAGAGGAAGGAGAAGUCGUAACA
This 330-nucleotide ribosomal RNA is filed under the name uncultured eukaryote. RNAcentral's name for it is "partial 18S ribosomal RNA". It matches the Rfam family "Eukaryotic small subunit ribosomal RNA", at positions 1470 to 1796 of the family's 1831-position model. The record is from RNAcentral.